GAAGACUGGGCCCCCGGGCUCGGCCGGGCUCGCGAAGGUGCUCCCGCCGAGCAUGCGCCGCGGCGCGGGUCCUGCCGGGAUUGUAGUCCGCGAGCCAGGCUUCCUGCGUGGGCGGCUGGGGACAAGCUUUGGAGGGGGCUGACGGGUGUUCCCGAACUUGGAGGAGGCCUUUCCUUCCCCCAGGGAGGAGCGGCGUGCUUAUUCAGGUAAUGAGGAGGACCUGCCCCGAGAGCCGGGAGAGUUCUGACAGAUCCAACUUCUCGGCCCCCCAGCCUCAGUUUCCCCACCUACAUUACGGCCCAGUGAUUGCCAAGGUAUACAGUUCCACGGGGCAGCGCUUUGUUCGCAAGUGUGCCGGAACACCUCCCACCACCGCGCUUUUGCUCCACUGGUGGUCAGUCAGGAAUGCCCUCCCCAGUCCCUCGCCCCUGGGAAUCUCCUACACAUCCUUCAGGGUCCAUCGUAAAAGGCUACGCGUAGCAGCGCGGGAUUCACGGGCCAUCCAGCUAGAGAGGGGCAGAGCCUCCUUGAGAACAGGCCAGGGAUUACUGCUGUCGCCAAGGACACUAGAGCCAGUGGCCAGGCUCAUUGGUGGAUGCAGAGAACCCAGGCUCAGGGGAGCCCAGGCAAGGCAAGGCCAUGAACACAGGACCUUCAGUGAUAUUGGGUGCCACCAUCCUACUCUGGGAGCACUGGAAGGGAGAGCAUAUCCCUCCUUCAAAUCUCCCAGCCUUGGGUCAACCUCAGGCCAGGGAAUGACUGCUCCCUUCUUGGCAUUUCCUGGGUGAGGUGGCCUCGCCCUCCUUCUCCGCCCUCCCCCUCCUCCAUCCUCUCCUCCUCCUCCUCCUCCUCCUCUGGCACUCCAGGGCCCUAGCCCAGCUCGAGGUAAGACUCAGGUCUGGCUUCAAAUCCCAAGACAUCUCCUUGCUAGCUGGAUGACCUCAAGUAAGCCACUUGUCCACCUUGGGCUUAUUUCCUCAUCUAUAAUAUGUACAAAGGACUAAAUGAGAUGAUUCAAAACAGGAGUUGAGCAUGGGGCAUAUUCCUUGAGAGCCAGCCGGCUUUAGGACUCUCUUUAGGACCUGCUGGCUGCUUCACCAUUCUUCAAAUGUGCUAGACAUGUCCUACCUCAGGACCUUUGCACUCACUGAUUCCCUGCCUGGAACACUUUUACUCCAGCACUUAGCCAAAUCCCUCACAACCUUUUGGUUUUAACUUAAAUGAUACUUGCUCAAAGAAACCUAUUUCCCUCACUCCUGAUGCCCUUUCCUGCCUGAUUCUUCUGCCUAUGUCUCUCAUGAAUUAAAAAAAAAAAAAAAAAAGUGAGUGGGGGCAGGGGUAGAGAAAGGAGGAGAGAGA
Molecule: long non-coding RNA, 1359 nt
Organism: Canis lupus familiaris (dog)
Lineage: Eukaryota; Metazoa; Chordata; Mammalia; Carnivora; Canidae
Exons: 2
Source: RefSeq, a predicted model, not a curated record